UAAUGUCUUCGGUCGAUUCUCAAACUUUAAAUACGCAAGAUAGAGAUGGUUGCUUGUGAACCUCUCUUUUGAAAACGUUGGCCUCGUGGGCCACUUUUGGUAAGCAGAACUGGCGAUAUGGGAUGAACCAUAAGGUUGGUUAAGGCGUCAAAAUCUCCGCUUAAAGAUCCCACGAAAGGUGUUGGUUCAUAUAGACAGCAGGACGGUGGCCAUGGAAGUCGGAAUCCGCUAAGGAGUGUGUAACAACUCACCUGCCGAAUGAACUAGCCCUGAAAAUGGAUGACGCUUAAGCGGAGUGCCGACACCGACCCGUUUUGGCAAAAACACGGACCAAAAUGAGUAGGAAGGCGUGGCGAUUUUGUUCAGAAGGGUGCGACGCAAGUCGGCCUGAAACGGUCGCUAGUGCAGAUCUUGGUGGUAGUAGCAAAUAUUUAAGCGUGAUCCUUAAAGGACGAAGCGGGGAAGGGUUCCAUGCGAACAUUGAUUGGGCAUGGGUGAGUCGUUCCUAAGCCAUAGGGUAAUCGUAAGUCGAUUGGCGAAAGGGGAGUUGGUUAAAAUUCCAACACACGGAUGUGAAGGCGGCGACGCAAAUUGAGGUGGAGACGCUAGCGGUGACACUAGGCAGAGUUUUCUUUUCUGUUUAACCUGUGCUGCACUCUGUGGAAUCCGUUUAUCGGGAGAAACAGGUGCCUAGCGGGAAGAGCGUCGGGGGGUCCCCGGCGUCUAGUAUGUCACCGAUAGCCCUUGAAAAUCCAUCUGCAAUCUAAUUUCACGCCGUGGCGUACCGAUAACCGCAGCAGGUCCCCAAGGUGAACAGCCUCUGUCUAAUAUGAACAAUGCAGGUAAGGGAAGUCGGCAAAAUAGACCCGUAACUUUGGGAAAAGGGUUGGCUCUAGUGGGGUGGAGGAACAACUGGCUCGUGUUGAUUUGUUCGAGUGUGUCUGUUCGAGGUAAA
RNAcentral lists this ribosomal RNA (955 nucleotides) under Lithophyllum acrocamptum. RNAcentral describes it as "eukaryotic LSU rRNA". It matches the Rfam family "Eukaryotic large subunit ribosomal RNA", at positions 1039 to 2014 of the family's 3401-position model. Lineage: Eukaryota; Rhodophyta; Florideophyceae; Corallinales; Lithophyllaceae. The record is from RNAcentral.